AGUAAACGUUGGCGGCGUGCCUAACACAUGCAAGUUGUACGAUCCUUUAAGUGGCUUGCCAUUUAAGAAGAGUGGCGAACGGGUGAGUAACACGUGAGUAAUCUGCCCCUAAGUGAGGAAUAACCCCACGAAAGUGGGGCUAAUACCGCAUGAUACUCUGCUUCAUAAGUUGUCAGAGUCAAAGCCUUCGGGCGCUUGAGGAUGAGCCCGCGUCCUAUUAGCUAGUUGGUGGGGUAACGGCCUACCAAGGUAAUAAUGGGUAGCCGGCCUGAGAGGGUGUACGGCCACACUGGGACUGCGACACGGCCCAGACUCCUACGGGAGGCAGCAGUGGGGAAUUUUGCGCAAUGGGCGAAAGCCUGACGCAGCGACGCCGCGUGGAGGAAGAAGGUUUUCGGAUUGUAAACUCCUGUCAGAGGAGAAGAAACGCCCUAGGGGGUUUGACGGUAUCCUCAGAGGAAGCCCCGGCUAACUACGUG
This 479-nucleotide ribosomal RNA is filed under the name uncultured bacterium. Its description in RNAcentral is "bacterial SSU rRNA". It matches the Rfam family "Bacterial small subunit ribosomal RNA", at positions 29 to 507 of the family's 1533-position model. The record is from RNAcentral.